Molecule: ribosomal RNA, 286 nt
Filed under: halophilic archaeon
Lineage: Archaea; Methanobacteriati; Methanobacteriota; Halobacteria; Halobacteriales
Description: partial 16S ribosomal RNA
Rfam family: Archaeal small subunit ribosomal RNA
Source: RNAcentral
AAACUGAGGCUAAUAGUGUAUACCACCACUGGAAUGAGUGGUAUGCCAAACGCUCCGGCGCCGAAGGAUGUGGCUGCGGCCGAUUAGGUAGACGGUGGGGUAACGGCCCACCGUGCCAAUAAUCGGUAUGGGUCAUGAGAGUGAGAACCCAGAGACGGAAAUCUGAGACAAGAUUCCGGGCCCUACGGGGCGCAGCAGGCGCGAAACCUUUACACUGCACGACAGUGCGAUAGGGGGAUCCCAAGUGCACAGGCAUAGCGCCUGUGCUUUUCGGUACCGUAAGGUG